UAGGGAAUCUUCCACAAUGGACGAAAGUCUGAUGGAGCAACGCCGCGUGAGUGAAGAAGGGUUUCGGCUCGUAAAACUCUGUUGUUAAAGAAGAACAUAUCUGAGAGUAACUGUUCAGGUAUUGACGGUAUUUAACCAGAAAGCCACGGCUAAAUACGUGCAG
Molecule: ribosomal RNA, 163 nt
Filed under: uncultured bacterium
Lineage: Bacteria
Description: partial 16S ribosomal RNA
Rfam family: Bacterial small subunit ribosomal RNA
Source: RNAcentral